GACGAACGCUGGCGGCGUGCUUAACACAUGCAAGUCGAACGGAAAGGCCCUGCUUUUGUGGGGUGCUCGAGUGGCGAACGGGUGAGUAACACGUGAGUAACCUGCCCUUGACUUUGGGAUAACUUCAGGAAACUGGGGCUAAUACCGGAUAGGAGCUCCGGCUGCAUGGUGGGGGUUGGAAAGUUUCGGCGGUUGGGGAUGGACUCGCGGCUUAUCAGCUUGUUGGUGGGGUAGUGGCUUACCAAGGCUUUGACGGGUAGCCGGCCUGAGGGGGUGACCGGCCUCAUUGGGACUGAGCUGCCGCCCCGACUCCUACGGGAGGCAGCAGUGGGGAAUAUUGCACGAUGGGCGGAAGCCUGAUGCAGCAACGCCGCGUGCGGGAUGACGGCCUUCUGGUUGUAACCCGCUUUCGCCUGUGACGAAGCGUGAGUGACGGUAAUGGGUAAAGAAGCACCGGCUAACUACGUG
This 468-nucleotide ribosomal RNA is filed under the name uncultured bacterium. RNAcentral's name for it is "partial 16S ribosomal RNA". It matches the Rfam family "Bacterial small subunit ribosomal RNA", at positions 28 to 507 of the family's 1533-position model. The record is from RNAcentral.